This 150-nucleotide unclassified non-coding RNA is filed under the name Oryza sativa (Asian cultivated rice). RNAcentral's name for it is "partial microRNA MIR441 precursor". The record is from RNAcentral. Lineage: Eukaryota; Viridiplantae; Streptophyta; Magnoliopsida; Poales; Poaceae.
UCCGAAAACCACUUCUGACAUCCGGUCAAACGUCCGAUGUGACACCCAAAAAUUUUCAUUUCACCUUAGGCCCUGUUUAGUUCUCAAAAAAUUUUCGCAAAAACAUCACAUCGAAUCUUUAGACACAUGUAUAGAGUAUUAAAUAUAGAU